This 805-nucleotide ribosomal RNA is filed under the name Streptomyces sp. RNAcentral describes it as "bacterial SSU rRNA". It matches the Rfam family "Bacterial small subunit ribosomal RNA", at positions 67 to 887 of the family's 1533-position model. The record is from RNAcentral. Lineage: Bacteria; Bacillati; Actinomycetota; Actinomycetes; Kitasatosporales; Streptomycetaceae.
CGAUGAAGCCCUUCGGGGUGGAUUAGUGGCGAACGGGUGAGUAACACGUGGGCAAUCUGCCCUUCACUCUGGGACAAGCCCUGGAAACGGGGUCUAAUACCGGAUACGACCUGCCGAGGCAUCUCGGCGGGUGGAAAGCUCCGGCGGUGAAGGAUGAGCCCGCGGCCUAUCAGCUUGUUGGUGGGGUAACGGCCCACCAAGGCGACGACGGGUAGCCGGCCUGAGAGGGCGACCGGCCACACUGGGACUGAGACACGGCCCAGACUCCUACGGGAGGCAGCAGUGGGGAAUAUUGCACAAUGGGCGCAAGCCUGAUGCAGCGACGCCGCGUGAGGGAUGACGGCCUUCGGGUUGUAAACCUCUUUCAGCAGGGAAGAAGCGCAAGUGACGGUACCUGCAGAAGAAGCGCCGGCUAACUACGUGCCAGCAGCCGCGGUAAUACGUAGGGCGCAAGCGUUGUCCGGAAUUAUUGGGCGUAAAGAGCUCGUAGGCGGCUUGUCACGUCGGGUGUGAAAGCCCGGGGCUUAACCCCGGGUCUGCAUCCGAUACGGGCAGGCUAGAGUGUGGUAGGGGAGAUCGGAAUUCCUGGUGUAGCGGUGAAAUGCGCAGAUAUCAGGAGGAACACCGGUGGCGAAGGCGGAUCUCUGGGCCAUUACUGACGCUGAGGAGCGAAAGCGUGGGGAGCGAACAGGAUUAGAUACCCUGGUAGUCCACGCCGUAAACGUUGGGAACUAGGUGUUGGCGACAUUCCACGUCGUCGGUGCCGCAGCUAACGCAUUAAGUUCCCCGCCUGGGGAGUACGGCC